Molecule: long non-coding RNA, 455 nt
Filed under: Marmota monax (woodchuck)
Lineage: Eukaryota; Metazoa; Chordata; Mammalia; Rodentia; Sciuridae
Source: RNAcentral
GUUAAAUCCGCCGAAUUCUUCUCUUUCCUUUCCCGUUUCAAAACCCACCACCUUCCCAGCGCUCGCCCUUUGACUUCCUGCCGUGACACCCGCGGGGUUUUCGAGGAGUCACGCGAGGCCUCUCCUGCCCAAACCCGGAUUCCCACCCCCUCCCGCCGCGUUCCAGGCUAUUGGCUCUAACUCCCGCGCCAGCCUCUCGGUCCUCCUUCUCUUCACCUUUGCUCCCAGCAGUCAGGAAACGUCUACUGAAUCCUGUUCACCGUGGCUCUGUGCCUGCACUGUGAAAUGGGUCGCUGGGUGAACAGAGUAGCUGCCUUCUCAACCGUAGAGACGCAGCCGGUGCCUGGCGAGUAUUGGGGCGCUUCUUCCAGUUCUUGUUCGUUAAUAUGCACGUUGCCAUGAUCUCUGGGCCUGAUGUGGGGACGACCUUUUGCUAUAAAUUAUGGAGAAAUCUU